UCUGUUUUCCCUUCUUUGGGUUUGCAAGCAACAAUUUCAUUGAUGUUGAGUGUUUUUCGCUUAUUACAGCAGAGAUGGUGAAUUUUGUACUAUUGUAUUUACAGAAAUGCGUGUACAUAGAUUUGCAAUCUGAAGGAGCGAUGAAGUGAAGAUUGAGUGCUUUUCUUUAAGAUUAAUAAUAGAUGGUAUAUUUUUUUGUUUUGAUUUAAGAGUGUUUGAUCUGGUACAUAGUGCAUUUGUUUAGUCUCAAAAUUUCAGUGUUAUCUCUCUAUUUCUCAUAUUAUUCACACCACGUCAUUGGUGAAAGCCUGCUGAAAAGAAUAAUUAAACAAUGGUGUGCUAAGUUAAACUAAAAUGUUAUGUACUAAAGGAAAAAAAUGACAUCUAGGUAUAUUCCCUUGAAUGAUUUACUAAAUACAUUUUCAUGUGAGGGCUCUUUACAGAAAGUAACUGAGAUCCAUUUAGAAAAUCAUGUUAAUAUUUUUUUGCGUAUCAUUAACUAAUGGUUCCAUUGUUAACAUUGUAUUAAUAAUCUUGUACCCUUUUUAUAAUACUAUCCCUCGUAUUCAUUUUAUUGUAAAGACAAUAAUCAGGAAGUGGCAUGUAUAAAAUUUCAACAUUUGCUCUCUCUCUCUCAAUUCCUUGUCCCAUCUCAUUCUGAAGUUUGGGCAGAGAUAAUUAUUUACCUUGUAUGCCAUGAAGACUAUGAUUUAUUGUAAUUGGAGAAUGCAUGCGUUUUUCUCUUCCAACAUAUAUUAUUGUUCUUCACAAUUCCCGAGUGUGGUUAUAUAUAGAUUGCUUGGAAAAUCAACUAAUAUUGUUACUCUAUUCAUUUGGGAGUUAGUUGUUAUAACUUACUAUAAUUUUGUAUGUGUUGAAUUUUUUGCAGGUUUGGCAAUUAGUCCGUGUCACUGGAGAUUGAAGCUUUUUAGCAGGAAUUACUUGGGCCCGAAUAGCUGCCUGGAAGUGGUGGUGUACUGUUGGAGAUUAAGAUAAACUAGUAGUGCAUUUUAGUCAUGUUUAUUUGAAAAUUUAAAAAAUACUUAUAGUGCGUUCUAGAUAUGCUUCUGAUAUUUUGAUAUUAAAUUUUGUUUUUUGUUGGAAAUCUGUAAUUGUCUUGUGAAUGAGUGCUAUUAUUUGAAUGAAUAUAAUUUGGUUGCAUUUGUAAAUUAUUCUGCGUCAAGAAAACAAGCUG
Molecule: long non-coding RNA, 1195 nt
Filed under: Triticum aestivum (bread wheat)
Lineage: Eukaryota; Viridiplantae; Streptophyta; Magnoliopsida; Poales; Poaceae
Description: long non-coding RNA (TAES_LNC026690)
Source: RNAcentral